Molecule: ribosomal RNA, 410 nt
Filed under: uncultured microorganism
Description: bacterial SSU rRNA
Rfam family: Bacterial small subunit ribosomal RNA
Source: RNAcentral
CAGCCGCCGCGGUAAUACGUAGGGUGCGAGCGUUCCUCGGAUUUACUGGGCGUAAAGCGUGCGCAGGCGGCCCGUUAAGACAGGUGUGAAAUCCCUGGGCUCAACCUAGGAAUUGCGCUUGUGACUGGCGGGCUCGAGUACGGUAGAGGGGGGUGGAAUUCCUGGUGUAGCAGUGAAAUGCGUAGAGAUCAGGAGGAACACCGAUGGCGAAGGCAGCCCCCUGGGCCUGUACUGACGCUCAUGCACGAAAGCGUGGGGAGCAAACAGGAUUAGAUACCCUGGUAGUCCACGCCCUAAACGAUGGGUACUAGCCGUUUGGUGCGCGAUAGCGCUGAGUGGCGAAGCUAACGCGUGAAGUACCCCGCCUGGGGAGUACGGCCGCAAGGUUGAAACUUAAAGGAAUUGGCGAG